GAAAUGUGUCGUGUUUGAUCACCGAAAGACACAGACUUCCAAACUAAAGCUGUUUUUGCUGCGCCGUUGGUCAGCCCAGAGCCUGUGAGACCUGUGCAGUGCCAACAUGGGGGGGGACCUUCAUAAAGGAGGGCCAACAUCUGGGAGUCCUGGAAUAACCUCUUAAAUGAGGAAGUACACCUUCAAACUGAAGGUCCUGCACAGCAGAGCACCACAGAGCAGCAUGGAGGAGAUCCAGCAGGUCAUCUGAGAAGACCCGGGGUGCGCUAAGGGGGACAAUGACCCAACAAACCUCGAGGCUGUGUAUGCCAUUUUACCAAGAAGGGGAGUGAUGGAGUGAUCAGAUGACAUGGCCUCCACAAUCGCCCGACCUCAAC
Molecule: long non-coding RNA, 377 nt
Organism: Oncorhynchus tshawytscha (Chinook salmon)
Lineage: Eukaryota; Metazoa; Chordata; Actinopteri; Salmoniformes; Salmonidae
Source: Ensembl